Molecule: long non-coding RNA, 1559 nt
Organism: Daphnia pulex (common water flea)
Lineage: Eukaryota; Metazoa; Arthropoda; Branchiopoda; Diplostraca; Daphniidae
Exons: 2
Source: RefSeq, a predicted model, not a curated record
CUCUGCCCCGAGUUACUACACCAUCAAGGUGACGGAGCAUGACUACGCAUGCUGCCCCAUCCUACUACACAGAGGCUUUCAAGUAUUACUCUAUUCUCAGCUACUUAUUGCACCGAUUUUCCUAAAUACUAUUCUGUUCCCAGCUGCUACACCGAGGCUCCCGCUGAUUACUCCACCAAAACGGUCGAAUACUACACCGAAGCGGUAAAGUACUACUCUGCCCAGAUCUACACAACCACAACUGAGGCGGCCAAGGAUGACGCAGUUCCGUCUUGCUACACCGAAGCUACUCUUUUGUUCUACGUUGAACAGAAAUACUACACUGAUGCUCCAGUUCACUACACCACGACCUACGCUACACCGCAGCCCCCAAGCACUACAUCGAAGAAGCCGCCUAUUACACAACAACGUAUGCUGCCUAGUUUACUACACCGAGGCUCCCAAGUACUACAUCACUAAGGCACCGGAAUUCUACACGUCUAUGUAUGCUGCCCCUUCCUACUACACCGAGGCGCCGCCUCUUCAACACUGAAGCUCUUAAGUACUACACUACAACCUACGCUGCCCCGAGCUACUACACCUACGUCCCGAAGUAUUACUGUGCGUAAAAGGAGUCGUCAGAAAAAAAAGAAGUCGGUCCCCGAACUGCAGUGCCCUAUCUGUCAUCAACUGCAUUCCUCAUCGUGUAAUCCAUUCGCAAUUAUGGAUAUCUAUGGCGUCGUGCUCCUGUUGUGUCUAUUGUUCGUUGAUUGGUGGGUCGACCGCUGGUGUAGCGAUGUAUCCUUGGUGAAGCGGAAACCAAACCGCAACGCCGCCGCCUUCCUACACAACUUACACAACGACCAGUUCCUGCACCGAGGUCUUCAAGUACUACACCACUAAAGCACCGGAGUUUUAUACCACAACUUACGCUGCCCCGAGCCACUACACUAAAGCCCUGAAGUAUUACUCUGCCCUGAGUUACUACACCAUCUAGGCGAUGGAGUGCUACAUGACUACGUAUGCUGCCCAUUCUACUACACCGAGGCUCCCAAGUAUUACUCUGUUCUCAGCUACUUAUUGCACCUAUUUUCCUAAGUACUACUCUGUUACCAGGUGCUACACCGAGGCUCCCGCUGAUUACUCCACCGAAGCGACAAAGUACUUCUCUGCCCUGAUCUACACAACCACAACUGAGGCGGACAAGUAUUACGCAGUCCCGAGUUGCUACCCAAAAGCUGCCCUUUCGUGCUACGUUGAACAGAAAUACUACACUGAUGGUCCAGUCUACUACACCACGACCUACGCUACACCUAGCUACAACACGGCAGCCCCCAAGUACUACACCGAAGAAGCCGCCUAUUACACAACUACGUACGCUGCCUAGUUUACUACAUCGAGGAAUUUAAGUAUUACCCUGCUCCAAACUACUACCAAACUGAGGUUCAUAUUUAUUGCAAUUCUCCCGAUUAUGUCACCACUACUCACGCUGCUCUGACCUUUACACCGAAAUUCUAAAGUAUUUCUCUGGAUUUGUUGAAAGAUUGCUGGAAUACAAAAUUGAUUGAUAAAUCACAAGU